This 408-nucleotide ribosomal RNA is filed under the name uncultured bacterium. Its description in RNAcentral is "partial 16S ribosomal RNA". It matches the Rfam family "Bacterial small subunit ribosomal RNA", at positions 28 to 526 of the family's 1533-position model. The record is from RNAcentral.
GACGAACGCUGGCGGCGUGCUUAACACAUGCAAGUCGAACGAAGUGGCGAACGGGUGAGUAACGCGUAGUCAACCUGCCCUUCAGAGGGGGACAACAGUUGGAAACGACUGCUAAUACCGCAUACUGAAGGAGGGGAUUGCGUCGGAUUAGCUAGGUGGAGGGGUAACGGCCCACCAAGGCGAUGAUCAGUAGCCGGGCUGGUAGGAUGAACGGCCACAUUGGGACGGGGACACGGCCCAGACUCCUACGGGAGGGAGCAGUGGGGAAUCUUCCGAAAGGGACGAAAGUCUGACGGAGCAACGCCGCGUGAGUGAUGACGGCCUUCGGGUUGGAAAGCUCUGUUAAUCGGGACGCGGUACCGGAAGAGAAAGCCACGGCUAACUACGUGCCAGCCGCCGCGGUAAUUC